Molecule: ribosomal RNA, 253 nt
Filed under: uncultured bacterium
Lineage: Bacteria
Description: partial 16S ribosomal RNA
Rfam family: Bacterial small subunit ribosomal RNA
Source: RNAcentral
UACGUAGGGGGCAAGCGUUGUCCGGAAUCAUUGGGCGUAAAGCGCGUGUAGGCGGCCCGGUAAGUCCGCUGUGAAAGUCGGGGGCUCAACCCUCGAAUGCCGGUGGAUACUGUCGGGCUAGAGUGCGGGAGAGGCGAGUGGAAUUCCUGGUGUAGCGGUGAAAUGCGCAGAUAUCAGGAGGAACACCAAUUGCGAAGGCAGCUCGCUGGAACGUAACUGACGCUGAGGAGCGAAAGCGUGGGGAGCGAACAGG